Molecule: transfer RNA, 98 nt
Filed under: Lentinula boryana
Lineage: Eukaryota; Fungi; Basidiomycota; Agaricomycetes; Agaricales; Omphalotaceae
Description: tRNA-Met
Rfam family: tRNA
About the family: Transfer RNA (tRNA) molecules are approximately 80 nucleotides in length. Their secondary structure includes four short double-helical elements and three loops (D, anti-codon, and T loops).
Source: RNAcentral
GCUUCCUUAGCUCAGUCGGUAGAGCGCGAGUCUCAUAGAAAUUGAGGGACGUGGGUCUCAUAAUCUCGAGGUCGCAAGUUCGAGCCUUGCAGGGAGCA